Ribosomal RNA from Otolemur garnettii (small-eared galago), 110 nucleotides. The record is from Ensembl. NCBI's taxonomy places the organism in Eukaryota, Metazoa, Chordata, Mammalia, Primates, Galagidae.
AUCUAUGACCAUAACACCCUAAAUGUACCUGAUCUUGCCUGAUCUUAGAAACUAAGCAGCUUUGGGCCUGGUUAGUACUUGGCUGCCUGGAAUAUCAGUUGCUGUAGGCU